This 447-nucleotide long non-coding RNA is filed under the name Trifolium pratense (red clover). Its description in RNAcentral is "long non-coding RNA (TPRA_LNC011730)". Lineage: Eukaryota; Viridiplantae; Streptophyta; Magnoliopsida; Fabales; Fabaceae. The record is from RNAcentral.
UAUAAGAAUUAUUCUUUGUGAAAAGUAUUGAUUUUGUAUAACUUAUAACGCAUCGUGUUGAUGCGGAGGAUUUUGUAUUUUGUGAUAUUCAAACCAGCGCUUUAUAAUCAGAUUUUCAAUUUUUCCACUGCGUAUUUUCGAAAAAGAUUUUAUAAAGGCAGAGUUAAUUAAAUAACGGGUUUGGGUGUUACAGCGAACAUCACUUCGCUCAGCGAACUCACCUGUUUUGAAAAUCUAUAAAUAGCUAUCAGAUGUCAUUUUUUAUAAAACAAUCACUUUUGUAAUAGAUUUCACACGAGAGUAACACUAGUUCUAGGGUUCUUGAGGAGUUUUUAAGGUGGAUUCAUCACAAAGACUUGAGAAAUCAAGAGAUGAUCUUCAUACUCUUCACUCUUCACUCUUGUAAGUUGAUCAAAACCAUGAGUAGCUAAUUUCUUUGUUGUUGGG